Molecule: long non-coding RNA, 96 nt
Organism: Balaenoptera musculus (blue whale)
Lineage: Eukaryota; Metazoa; Chordata; Mammalia; Artiodactyla; Balaenopteridae
Exons: 3
Source: RefSeq, a predicted model, not a curated record
ACCAUCCCCCCCCCCCGGUCCGUGGAAAAAUUGUCUUCCACGAAACCAGUCCUUGGUGCCAGAAAGGUUUGGGGACCACUGCCAGAUAAGCAGCAA